CAGAGCAGAAGUGCUUAUGGCACCUUACGGCAGCCAAGAAGCGGUGCACAGAGUGACCCUAAACCGAGGAGCUUUCUCUGUCUCCAUCUUUUGUCGCAUCCCAGCCCCAGCCUAUUGGGUGGUACUUCCCAAAGUCAAGGCUGGUCCUCCCUCUCAAGUUGCUGUCCCAGAUGUCAUUCAACCCUGGAAACACCCAGACAUGUCAUUUCUUCUCAAGCAUCUUUCAGUUUGGUCAAGUUGACAGUCAAAAUUAACCACUGUACAUCUGGAAAUGCCCCUGGGGAAGUUGUACCAUCUGACUCCAAAGAGUGUGCAGUGGUUAAUAUCUGCUAUUAAUUUGCGAGAAGGAGUUUGCCACCCGGGAGACAAAACUCUUGAGUAGGUCUAGAUUGGGUUGUGGGAAGACAACUCUUUCCUAAACGUGAGUAGCAUCAUUCUACCGGCUGUGGUCCCAAAAGGAGAGAGCACUGAGCAUCAAUAUUCUCCAUUGGUUGUUCCCGACAGUGGAUGAGGUGUGGCCAGCUGCCUCACACCCGCUACCACCAGGCCCUCCACACCGUAACAGACUGUGUCCUUGGGAACUAUAAGGCAAAAUAAUCUUUUCCUUCCUCUUUUCAUUUUGUCUCAUCAGUAAGAAAAGAGACAAAAGGUGAGUUUCCAUGCCUUGGGAAAAGAGGAACUUCAAGGGACCUGACCAAGCAAACCGUCAACAGUGUAGGGCCAACCCAGAGCCCAGGAUCCUGUGAACCUACAACUUUCUCCUUCUUCACAGACUGCUGAAAUCAGUAUUGGAAGCGGAUUCUGCUGAGACCUUGGCGGCAAGUGCUCUACCACUGAAUGUACCCUCAGCGCCAUACAAGGAAGGGAGAAAGCCUACACCAUGGCAGACUAAUAUGGCUGCACUGGGCUAGGACGUGGCAGUCAACGACAAUGCCAACAUUGUGUUGUGGUAAUGGCUACACAUCUCCGAGUAUCCCCCAUUCCUAUCAAUUCCCCGGGGAGAAAAUCAACUCCUCUUCCUCCUCCUCCUCCCCAUCCCCCCCCCCCCCCCCCCCCGUCCCAGUGUUGGUCUGAGAGUCUAGUGAUCCCGUGACUUAGGCUGGCUCUCAGGGGACGUUAGUUUGGCUUCACUUUUUACUGUUAGUCAUUAUUGGGUGUUCACUUCAGGACUCCUGGAAGAGUCCUCAUGUUAAACUUCCUAGGCUGUAUCUGGCCUUAGCUCCCUGUUUUGCUGUCAGGCCGCAGCUGGCUGGGGAAGGCUUGUUUGUUAUGGUUCGCCUGGGUUCCAAGUCUCCAGUGAUCAGCAGUCCUUUUAAAAAACAUCAUUUAUUGUUACUUUUGAGAGUUUCAUACAUGAGCACUGUAUUUAUGUACUUUCCACCCCAAACUCUUCCCUUCAGCUCCUCCCACAUCCCCACAUUCCCCUCAAUUUCAUGACCUCCUUUUUUAUCAUUAUUAUUACAUAUAGGUAUCAUAUGUAAAGUUUUACUUAUUUGUUUUAUGUAUAUACAUACUGUAGCUG
This 1522-nucleotide long non-coding RNA is filed under the name Mus musculus (house mouse). RNAcentral describes it as "long non-coding RNA chr18:82773835-82775357". The record is from RNAcentral. Lineage: Eukaryota; Metazoa; Chordata; Mammalia; Rodentia; Muridae.